This 61-nucleotide microRNA precursor is filed under the name Echinops telfairi (small Madagascar hedgehog). Its description in RNAcentral is "Ete-Mir-17-P4c_pre stem-loop". It matches the Rfam family "mir-17 microRNA precursor family", at positions 11 to 70 of the family's 80-position model. From Rfam's summary of the family: This family represents the microRNA (miRNA) precursor mir-17, family, which includes mir-20, mir-91, and mir-103. miRNAs are transcribed as ~70nt precursors (modelled here) and subsequently processed by the Dicer enzyme to give a ~22nt product. Lineage: Eukaryota; Metazoa; Chordata; Mammalia; Afrosoricida; Tenrecidae. The record is from RNAcentral.
CAAAGUGCUCAUAGUGCAGGUAGUUUUUAUAUUGCUCUACUGCGGUAUGGGCACUUUCAGU